AACGCACCUUGCGCCCUUUGGUAUUCCGAAGGGCAUGCCUGUUUGAGUGUCAUUAAAUUCUCAACCUCCCCUUCUUUCAUUAGGAGUGCGGUGGAUUGGAUAUGGGGGUUUGCUGGUUUCUAACGAGAUCAGCUCCUCUGAAAUGCAUUAGCAGAAACCGUUUGACUUUGGCUGCUAGGCUGUGAUAAUAUCUACGCCUUGUGGUUAGGUCGGAAUACGAGUCAUACAGUGGUAACUAAUCAGGCUUUCGGGUCUGGCUUAGAAUCGGUUUGGAAGGUGCUUAACGGCUCCUUCUGCUUUCUCCCUUUGCGGAGAUACUUGUCCGAUUUUAAGAGAGGAGUUGCUUAGCGCGAGCUUAGCUUUCCUUGAUUUUUCCCUUUGACUUUGUAGAAGGAUUCAGCUUCUAACCGUCCAUUGACUUGGACAAUUUAUUGACUAUUUGACCUCAAAUCAGGUAGGACUACCCGCUGAACUUAA
This 477-nucleotide unclassified non-coding RNA is filed under the name Trechispora sp. RNAcentral's name for it is "partial contains 5.8S ribosomal RNA, internal transcribed spacer 2, and large subunit ribosomal RNA". The stretch from base 1 to 52 matches the Rfam family "5.8S ribosomal RNA", at positions 103 to 154 of the family's 154-position model. Lineage: Eukaryota; Fungi; Basidiomycota; Agaricomycetes; Trechisporales; Hydnodontaceae. The record is from RNAcentral.